CUUAUUUCAUUCUUCAUGGUCGGCUAAGACAAGAACAAAGAGAAAAAAGAAGAGAACAAACCCUAGUGAGCAAAAAUUCAAGGGAAAAUUGGUGGAUUUCAAGGAAUUAAGCAAGUAAAGGUAAAAUUUCUUGAUUUUAGCUUGUGAUCUACCUUUUCUAUGCAUUCUUUUUCAUUUUCGAUGGUUGAGAAUCAAGUUUGCAUGAAGAUACCUUUGCUGGCCGGACAUGGGGGGAGGGAUUUUGAUCUUGGAUUUAGCUAGAUUUCAUGUUAUUCUAGUGUUUUUAGUUGUUUGGUAAUGUUUAGCAUGGAAAACAAGCAAGAAAUUUCAUGCCCUUCACCCACACCCAUUGGCUAAAUUUUUCAAGAGAGAAAUUGGAAAAUGGACUUUGAUGAAUUUCAUGCUAUUUAGGUAUUUUUAGUUGUUUUAUGAUGUAAAGUGCAAAAAUCAAGCAUGAAAAACCACAUAUAAUUCAUGAACCCUCCAUGGCCGAAUUUUUCCAAGAGAAAAUGUUGAGGAUGAUUUUGCUAUAAUUCAUUUAUCUAGCUUAUAUUUGAUGAUUUGGAGUAUUGGAAGUGAAAUGAAUUUAUUUGGAGUUGAAUUGGAUAUUUUGGCUAAUUAACCGGCGUAUAGUGUGAAUUAGGUCAAUACCAUUUCAGCCCCAAACACAAUUGAACCGACGUAGAACACCGUAUUUAGAUAAUAAUCCGAACAUUUAACAUCCCAUUUCAUGGAUUCAUCUAGAGCCUAAAUUAGUUUUAUAACGGUUUAGCACAAAUAUCUUGUUGUGCAUUAUGUCUAGGUGGUGAAACUUUCGAUAAGGGUAAGGAGAUUGUACCAGAAGACCGGGAUUAGGAGUACCUCGAUUCUCGAUAUUGUGAGUAACCUUAUUAUCG
RNAcentral lists this long non-coding RNA (896 nucleotides) under Theobroma cacao (cacao). RNAcentral describes it as "long non-coding RNA (TCAC_LNC000341)". Lineage: Eukaryota; Viridiplantae; Streptophyta; Magnoliopsida; Malvales; Malvaceae. The record is from RNAcentral.